GCAGAACCCGAUUCGGGUUCCCGGACGAUGGGUGCCGUACCCGGCGACGCGACAAGACGGCCCACA
Molecule: non-coding RNA, 66 nt
Filed under: Knoellia sinensis
Lineage: Bacteria; Bacillati; Actinomycetota; Actinomycetes; Micrococcales; Intrasporangiaceae
Source: RNAcentral